Molecule: long non-coding RNA, 102 nt
Organism: Sapajus apella (tufted capuchin)
Lineage: Eukaryota; Metazoa; Chordata; Mammalia; Primates; Cebidae
Exons: 3
Source: RefSeq, a predicted model, not a curated record
UGCUCACCAAUGCCGAGGCAGCUUUAAAAACAAGACACAGGAGGGUCGGGCGUGGUGGCUCACACCUGUAAUCCCAGCACUUUGGGAGGCCGAGGUGGGUGG